AUACCUUUCUCGGCCUUUUGGCUAAGAUCAAGUGUAGUAUCUGUUCUUAUCAGUUUAAUAUCUGAUAUGUGGGCUAUCGGCUCACACGAUAUUAACUCUUAAUAUUAACUCUAUUUUUUAAGGGAGAAAGCCUACUAAGGUAGUUUGCUAUCUGGGCUUUCACGAGUCGCUCAUGCGUUGCACUACUGCACGGCCUGGCUCAUCCCAU
RNAcentral lists this small nuclear RNA (208 nucleotides) under Arabidopsis halleri subsp. gemmifera. RNAcentral's name for it is "snRNA U2". It matches the Rfam family "U2 spliceosomal RNA". From Rfam's summary of the family: U2 is a small nuclear RNA (snRNA) component of the spliceosome (involved in pre-mRNA splicing). Complementary binding between U2 snRNA (in an area lying towards the 5' end but 3' to hairpin I) and the branchpoint sequence (BPS) of the intron results the bulging out of an unpaired adenosine, on the BPS, which initiates a nucleophilic attack at the intronic 5' splice site, thus starting the first of two transesterification reactions that mediate splicing. Lineage: Eukaryota; Viridiplantae; Streptophyta; Magnoliopsida; Brassicales; Brassicaceae. The record is from RNAcentral.